This 500-nucleotide ribosomal RNA is filed under the name uncultured bacterium. Its description in RNAcentral is "partial 16S ribosomal RNA". It matches the Rfam family "Bacterial small subunit ribosomal RNA", at positions 28 to 507 of the family's 1533-position model. The record is from RNAcentral.
GACGAACGCUGGCGGCGUGCUUAACACAUGCCAGUCGAACGGGUCUGCCCUGUUUUUUGCGGGGUGGGUCAGUGGCGAACGGGUGAGUAACACGUGAGUAACCUGCCCCUCACUUCUGGAUAACCGCUUGAAAGGGUGGCUAAUACGGGGUGUUCUGGCUGUGCCGCAUGGUGUGGCUGGGAAAGAUUCACUUUUGUGGUGUUUUGGUGGGGGAUGGGCUCGCGGCCUAUCAGCUUGUUGGUGGGGUGAUGGCCUGCCAAGGCUUUGACGGGUAGCCGGCCUGAGAGGGUGGGCGGUCACACUGGGACUGAGAUACGGCCCAGACUCCUGCGGGAGGCAGCAGUGGGGGGUAUUGGACAAUGGGCGGAAGGCUGAUGCAGCGACGUCGCGUGAGGGAUGGAGGCCUUCGGGUUGUGAACCUCUUUCGCCGGUGAAGAAGGUCCUGCUCUUUGUGGUGGGGUUGACGGUAGCCGGGUUAUGAAGCGCCGGCUAACUACGUG